AUCAAGCCUGGAGCUGCCAUUGGCAACUUCAUCCUGCCUCCCGGGGAGAGCCUGCAUGAGAAUGCCAGGCAGAUGUUAAAAAUGGCAUUGCAGGAAAAUAUUUAAUGAUCUGGAGAGAUGUCCAUGAUACCUCCUUGCAUUCAAAAAAAACAAGCUACAAAACAGUACAUACCCUAUUAAUUGCUAUAUCUCUGCUCAUAUCUAUUCAUGUGCAAAUAACAAAAUGGAUGAUAGAUGCCAAGAUAUUAACAGUGGUUCUCUCUGUGAACUUCGACGUCUGGGAUUUGCUUCAAAAUAACCCACUGGGGCGGGUGUCGAUGAAACAGAAUUGGAUGAGCUGAUCACUUUCGAAGCUGGGCAUUGGUACGUAGGUGAGCAUCAUACCGUUCCCACUCCUUGUGAAGACGCUCGGAAGUUUUCAUAAUAAGACAUUUUGUUAAAGCGGCAAGUAGGAACCUGGCCAGAGCUGAGGAGUGAGCCGACAACAGAUGUGAAGGUGCAGGCAGUGAGCCCCGAGACACACACAUAAGGAGCCCGGAAGCCCUCCCUGUGGCCCCACCGCCAACCACGCUCCCUCCCCACCCCUCUCCCUGUUGACUCCCAUGUCGUCCAAGAACCCUCGGCUCUGAGUAAUAAAUGUGCCUCUCGGCGGGACAUGUGUUUCCAA
Molecule: long non-coding RNA, 667 nt
Filed under: Equus caballus (horse)
Lineage: Eukaryota; Metazoa; Chordata; Mammalia; Perissodactyla; Equidae
Description: lncRNA (ENSECAG00000049434.1)
Source: RNAcentral